This 403-nucleotide long non-coding RNA is filed under the name Trifolium pratense (red clover). Its description in RNAcentral is "long non-coding RNA (TPRA_LNC000453)". The record is from RNAcentral. Lineage: Eukaryota; Viridiplantae; Streptophyta; Magnoliopsida; Fabales; Fabaceae.
CUUGUCAUUGCGUGUGUUUUUCCAAACCGCUGUUUUUCUAGUUUAUCAAAAUUACAAUUUGCAACAACUAAAUUCCAGAAAUUAAAUGAAAAUGGAGACAAAGUAUAUGUUCGUUUCUCAAAGUUAAUGGUGGCAGUUCAACAGGUUAAUACAAAAAUUGGACAAUAGAUCUCAAAAGAAUGAUUAAAUAGAUACAAGUUUUUGCUCCAAUCGACUAGGGAGACAUUAUCAUGGAUAAUAUAAGAAUAAGAAUUUGUUUCCAAAGUAAAAAAUGAAUUGUUAACCAAAUUGUUUCUUUGUGUUGAAAUUGAAAGACAACAUGGAGCAGCGUGAGAGAGAAGAUGGAGCGGCGACGGCAGGAGUUGAAAAUUGUACACACGCAUGGAUACAAAGAUACAGGAGG